UACGGAGGAUGCGAGCGUUAUCCGGAUUUAUUGGGUUUAAAGGGUGCGUAGGCGGGCUGUUAAGUCAGCGGUAAAAGCCCGGGGCUCAACCCCGGCGAGCCGUUGAAACUGGCUGUCUUGAGAUAUCGAGAGGUAUGCGGAAUGCGCAGUGUAGCGGUGAAAUGCUUAGAUGUUGCGCAGAACUCCGAUUGCGAAGGCAGCAUACCGGCGGCGAUCUGACGCUGAGGCACGAAAGCGUGGGUAUCGAACAGG
RNAcentral lists this ribosomal RNA (252 nucleotides) under uncultured bacterium. RNAcentral's name for it is "partial 16S ribosomal RNA". It matches the Rfam family "Bacterial small subunit ribosomal RNA", at positions 524 to 776 of the family's 1533-position model. The record is from RNAcentral.